GCAGUGCCACGGCUUGUCGCCGGUGUCUUUGUGACACAGGAGGAAAGUCCGGGCAGCGCAGGGUGCUCCACUUCCGAAAGUAGAAGCUAUUGGUGACAGUAGGAGACGGCAGAAGAAAACAACCGCCAUAUAUAUAAUGUGGUAAGGGUGAGAAGGUGGUGUAAGAGACCACCAGCCGGCGGGCGAUCGCCGGGCUGUGCCAUCUGGAGGCUGCAAGUUCGCGUAAACCAUCGUCUGAGGGUUACCCGCCCGACUUAUUCCGAUGGAGGGUAGAACGCUUGAGCCGCAGGGUGACUUGCGGAGUAGAUAAAUGACAGGCACCGACGUGAUUGCCGAGAGGUCAUGGCGGAACAGAACCCGGCUUACAGGGGCACUGCUUUC
This 381-nucleotide RNase P RNA is filed under the name Prevotella sp. RNAcentral describes it as "RNase P RNA component class A". It matches the Rfam family "Bacterial RNase P class A". From Rfam's summary of the family: Ribonuclease P (RNase P) is a ubiquitous endoribonuclease, found in archaea, bacteria and eukarya as well as chloroplasts and mitochondria. Its best characterised activity is the generation of mature 5'-ends of tRNAs by cleaving the 5'-leader elements of precursor-tRNAs. Cellular RNase Ps are ribonucleoproteins. The record is from RNAcentral. Lineage: Bacteria; Pseudomonadati; Bacteroidota; Bacteroidia; Bacteroidales; Prevotellaceae.